AGGGGUCGGAGGACGCGGCGGCGCGCGGGGGCGGGGCGCGGCGUGCGCGUGCGCUGUGGGCCCCCACUGCGCGACCGAGAGAGAGUCGGACCGGGGAACGGCCCGCCGAUUGAACGAGAUCGCAAGCUCCUGGCGCCGCCGCUGCAGCCCCGCCGAAGCGACCGGCCUUACAUAGUGCGCAAGGCAGGGGCGGGCUCUGGGCCUGAGCCUCCAAGCCCGCCCAGGCCGCUGGUGGUGCGGCGCGGACGGGGGCGGAGCUGGGCCGCGCGUGACGGGGGUGGGCGGGCCCGGGCCGCCGCGGGCACCUGGGGCUCGGACCCGGUCUCUGCUCCCGCGUGGAGUCGGCCUCGGCGGGCCUCGGUGGGCCCAUCCUUGAAUUUACAUCCGAAGGUGAGGAAGGCCGCGAGACUCGUGACCUUGGCGGCGUUUGAGGCCGAGCUCGCUGGCCCAGCGCGGAGCCCGGGCGAGCCGGAAGCUAGGCUCAGGCACCAGUUGAAUUAAAAGAAGCACACCUCCUCCCAAGAACAGUACUCCAGAUAUGAUAUAACGCCUGGGUAGGGUUCGAAGUAGCAGCCAGGCUGUAAUGUAAGCUGGAACUUCAAUCAAGGCAGAGAAGAAACAGUUCAGGAGCUGGCACAAGGCAUGGCCAAGGACACUGUGAAUCCUCACUGACUGGCAGGAAGCAAAUCUGCUUCCACUGAAUAUCUGCUUUUCCUCGUGGCCUCCCGCCUGCAGGGGUGAAUCCUCCAGCCUGUGCUCUCAGGCCUUAAGGUUCUAGACACAACAUAGCAAGACUAAAGACAUGUACAGCUUCCCCAGCAGACUUUGGUAAGAUUCAGAGUACAGUGGGGAGCCCAUGGGUGGAAUACCCCUCAAACACAUUUUUCCCUCUUAAUCUGGACAUUCAAAAAUCACCAGUAUGUAGCUGCAUCAAUGGUGUGGAGCAAGACCAAUAAAAAGUUGGAGAUAACCUUGCAAAAGGGAAGGAAACUAAUACUUAAUCAACACUUGCUAUAUGCUAAGCAGUUUACAUAUAUUAUUGCACUUAAUUGGUCCACAGCCCUUUGAGGAGGGCUCAGAACUUCAUCAUCAUUGUGUCUCUAAGGCCUUGAACAGUGCCUGGUACAUAAUAGGCACUCAAAACCUAUUGAAUCAAAUUAAAUUCCAUAAUCAAGAAUGCAUAACUGGGGCUUCCCUGGUGGUACAGUGGUUAAGAAUCGCCUGCCGAUGCACGUGACAUGGGUUCGAGCCCUAGUCCGGGAAGAUCCCACAUGCCAU
Delphinapterus leucas (beluga whale) is the source of this 1278-nucleotide long non-coding RNA. RefSeq lists it as uncharacterized. Lineage: Eukaryota; Metazoa; Chordata; Mammalia; Artiodactyla; Monodontidae. The record is from RefSeq and is a predicted model, not a curated record.